This 543-nucleotide ribosomal RNA is filed under the name uncultured bacterium. RNAcentral describes it as "bacterial SSU rRNA". It matches the Rfam family "Bacterial small subunit ribosomal RNA", at positions 339 to 875 of the family's 1533-position model. The record is from RNAcentral.
CUACGGGAGGCAGCAGUGGGGAAUCUUCCGCAAUGGACGAAAGUCUGACGGAGCAACGCCGCGUGAGUGAAGAAGGUUUUCGGAUCGUAAAGCUCUGUCUUUGAGGACGAAUGUGCUUAAUGUGAAUAAUGUUAAGUAAUGACGGUACUCGAGGAGGAAGCCACGGCUAACUACGUGCCAGCAGCCGCGGUAAUACGUAGGUGSCAAGCGUUGUCCGGAAUUAUUGGGCGUAAAGCGCGCGCAGGCGGGAUAUUAAGUCUGUUUUAAAAGUUCGGGGCUCAACCCCGUGAUGGAAUGGAAACUAAUAUUCUUGAGUGCAGGAGAGGAAAGUGGAAUUCCCAGUGUAGCGGUGAAAUGCGUAGAUAUUGGGAGGAACACCAGUGGCGAAGGCGACUUUCUGGACUGUGUCUGACGCUGAGGCGCGAAAGCCAGGGGAGUGAACGGGAUUAGAUACCCCGGUAAUCCUGGCCGUAAACGAUGGGUACUAGGUGUAGGAGGUAUCGACCCCUUCUGUGCCGGAGUAACGCAAUAAGUACCCGCAUG